AGAGUUUGAUCCUGGCUCAGGACGAACGCUGGCGGUGUGCUUCACACAUGCAAGUCGAGCGAAUGAAGUAGGUAGCUUGCUACUUAUGGAUUUAGCGGCGGACGGGUGAGUAAUAUAUAGGAAUCUGCCUUAGAGCGGGGAACAACAGACCGAAAGGUUUGCUAAUGCCCCAUAGGUAUGCAGUCUUCGGAUUGUAUAUUAAAGGAGUAAUCCACUCUAAGAUGAGCCUGUAUCCGAUUAGCUAGUUGGCGGGGUAAAGGCCCACCAAGGCUACGAUCGGUAGUUGGUCUGAGAGGAUGAUCAGCCACAAUGGGACUGAGACACGGCCCAUACUCCUACGGGAGGCAGCAGUGGGGAAUUUUACACAAUGGGGGAAACCCUGAUGUAGCGACACCGCGUGAACGAAGAAGCCUUUUGGGGUGUAAAGUUCUGUCGGCUGGAACGAAAAAAAUGACGGUACCAGCAAAGGAAGCAUCGGCUAACUACGUGCCAGCAGCCGCGGUAAGACGUAGGAUGCAAGCGUUGUCCGGAUUUAUUGGGCGUAAAGAGUUCGUAGGCGGUUAUUUAAGUCUGAUGUUAAAUACUGUGGCCCGACCACAGAACUGCAUUGGAUACUGGAUGACUUGAGUGCGGUAGAGGCAAGUGGAAUUCCCAGUGUAGCGGUGAAAUGCGUAGA
This 676-nucleotide ribosomal RNA is filed under the name uncultured bacterium. RNAcentral's name for it is "bacterial SSU rRNA". It matches the Rfam family "Bacterial small subunit ribosomal RNA", at positions 8 to 694 of the family's 1533-position model. The record is from RNAcentral.